This 77-nucleotide transfer RNA is filed under the name Candidatus Bathycorpusculum fermentans. Its description in RNAcentral is "tRNA-Ile". It matches the Rfam family "tRNA". From Rfam's summary of the family: Transfer RNA (tRNA) molecules are approximately 80 nucleotides in length. Their secondary structure includes four short double-helical elements and three loops (D, anti-codon, and T loops). The record is from RNAcentral. Lineage: Archaea; Thermoproteati; Candidatus Bathyarchaeota; Bathyarchaeia (SeqCode); Bathyarchaeales (SeqCode); Candidatus Bathycorpusculaceae.
GGACCCGUAGCUCAGCUAGGUGGAGCGCCAGACUCAUAAUCUGUUGGUCGUUGGUUCAAAUCCGACCGGGUCCACCA